CAGCAGCACACUGUGGUUUGUACGGCACUGUGGCCACGUCCAAACCACACUGUGGUGUUAGAGC
MicroRNA precursor from Equus asinus (donkey), 64 nucleotides. The record is from Ensembl. Lineage: Eukaryota; Metazoa; Chordata; Mammalia; Perissodactyla; Equidae.